This 547-nucleotide ribosomal RNA is filed under the name uncultured archaeon. RNAcentral describes it as "bacterial SSU rRNA". It matches the Rfam family "Archaeal small subunit ribosomal RNA", at positions 312 to 859 of the family's 1478-position model. The record is from RNAcentral.
GAAUCCAGGCCCUACGGGGCGCAGCAGGCGCGAAAACUUUACAAUGCGGGAAACCGUGAUAAGGGGACACCGAGUGCCAGCAUCAUAUGCUGGCUGUCCGGGUGUGUAAAAUACACCUGUUAGCAAGGGCCGGGCAAGACCGGUGCCAGCCGCCGCGGUAACACCGGCGGCCCGAGUGGUGAUCGUGAUUAUUGGGUCUAAAGGGUCCGUAGCCGGUUUGGUCAGUCCUCCGGGGAAUCUGACGGCUUAACCGUUAGGCUUUCGGGGGAUACUGCCAGACUUGGAACCGGGAGAGGUAAGAGGUACUACAGGGGUAGGAGUGAAAUCUUGUAAUCCCUGUGGGACCACCUGUGGCGAAGGCGUCUUACCAGAACGAGUUCGACGGUGAGGGACGAAAGCUGGGGGCACGAACCGGAUUAGAUACCCGGGUAGUCCCAGCCGUAAACGGUGCUCGCUAGGUGUCAGGCAUGGCGCGACCGUGUCUGGUGCCGCAGGGAAGCCGUGAAGCGAGCCACCUGGGAAGUACGGCCGCAAGGCUGAAACUUAA